This 484-nucleotide ribosomal RNA is filed under the name uncultured bacterium. Its description in RNAcentral is "partial 16S ribosomal RNA". It matches the Rfam family "Bacterial small subunit ribosomal RNA", at positions 28 to 507 of the family's 1533-position model. The record is from RNAcentral.
AUUGAACGCUGGCGGCAUGCUUUACACAUGCAAGUCGAACGGCAGCGCGGGCUUCGGCCUGGCGGCGAGUGGCGAAAGGGUGAUUAAUGCAUUGGAAUGUGCCCAGUAGUGGGGGAUAGCCCGGCGAAAGCCGGAUUAAUACCGCAUACGACCUGAGGGUGAAAGCGGGGGACCGAAAGGCCUCGCGCUAUUGGAGCGGCCGAUGUCGGAUUAGCUAGUUGGUGGGGUAAAGGCUUACCAAGGCGACGAUCCGUAGCUGGUCUGAGAGGACGACCAGCCACACUGGGACUGAGACACGGCCCAGUCUCCUACGGGAGGCAGCAGUGGGGAAUUUUGGACAAUGGGGGCAACCCUGAUCCAGCCAUGCCGCGUGCGGGAAGAAGGCCUUCGGGUUGUAAACCGCUUUUGUUCGGGAAGAAAUCCUCUGGGCUAAUACCCCGGGGGGAUGACGGUACCGGAAGAAUAAGCACCGGCUAACUACGUG